GACAGAGCACCGGGUGCUAACGUCCGGACUCAAAAGGGAAACAACCCAGACCGCCGGCUAAGGUCCCAAAUAACAGCUAAGUGGAAAACGAAGUGGAAAGGCCGUGACAACCAGGAAGUUGGCUUAGAAGCAGCCAUCCUUCAAAGAAAGCGUAAUAGCUCACUGGUCGAGUCCUUCUGCGCGGAAGAUGUAACGGGGCUAAGCUGUUAACCGAAGCCGCGGAUGCACUGGUAAUCCAGUGCGUGGUAGGGGAGCGUUCUGUAAGUCUGCGAAGGCGGUUCGAGAGGACUGCUGGAGAUAUCAGAAGUGCGAAUGCUGACAUGAGUAACGUUAAAGCAGGUGAAAAGCCUGCUCGCCGUAAGCCCAAGGAUUCCUGCUCUACGUUCAUCGGAGCAGGGUGAGUCGGCUCCUAAGGUCAGGCCGAAAGGCGUAGCCGAUGGGAAUCAGGUUAAUAUUCCUGAACCUGCGUCAGAUGCGAUGGGGGGACGGAGCAUGGAAGAUCAUCCGGGUGUUGGAAGUCCCGGUUGUUGAGCGUAGGAGGUCUGCAGGCAAAUCCGCAGACGCAUCUCCAAGGCAAAGACACGUGCCGCCACGGCGGCGAAGUGAUCGGAAGUGCUUCCAAGAAAAGCCUCUAAGCCCCAGUCUGACGCGGACCGUACCGCAAACCGACACUGGUGGGCGAGCUGAAUAUGCUCAGGCGCUUGAGAGAACUCGGGAGAAGGAACUCGGCAAAUUGACACCGUAACUUCGGAAGAAGGUGUGCCGUAGUACCGUGAGAGGAGAGACACCUUGAGCGGGAAACGGUCUCAGAGAAUAGGUGGCUGCGACUGUUUAUUAAAAACACAGCACUCUGCAAAGUCGAAAGACGACGUAUAGGGUGUGAUGCCUGCCCGGUGCUGGAAGAUUAAUUGAUGGGGUGAGAGCCCUUGAUCGAAGUCCCAGUAAACGGCGGCCGUAACUAUAACGGUCCUAAGGUAGCGAAAUUCCUUGUCGGGUAAGUUCCGACCUGCACGAAUGGCAUAACGAUGGCCACACUGUCUCCUCCCGAGACUCAGUGAAGUUGAAAUGUUUGUGAUGAUGCAAUCUACCCGCGGCUAGACGGAAAGACCCCAUGAACCUUUACUGCAGCUUUGCAUUGAACUGUGAACCGAUUUGUGUAGGAUAGGUGGGAGGCAGAGAAGAGGCCACGCCAGUGGUCUUGGAGCCGACCUUGAAAUACCACCCUGAUUUGUUUGCGGUUCUAACCACGGACAGUGAUCCUGUCUUGGGACCGUGCAUGGUAGGCAGUUUGACUGGGGCGGUCUCCUCCUAAAGGGUAACGGAGGAGUACGAAGGUACGCUAGGUACGGUCGGAAAUCGUGCUGAUAGUGCAAUGGCAAAAGCGUGCUUGACUGCGAGAGCAACAACUCGAGCAGAUGCGAAAGCAGGUCAUAGUGAUCCGGUGGCUCUGAAUGGAAGGGCCAUCGCUCAACGGAUAAAAGGUACUCUGGGGAUAACAGGCUGAUACCGCCCAAGAGUUCAUAUCGACGGCGGUGUUUGGCACCUCGAUGUCGGCUCAUCUCAUCCUGGGGCUGUAGUCGGUCCCAAGGGUAUGGCUGUUCGCCAUUUAAAGAGGUACGUGAGCUGGGUUUAAAACGUCGUGAGACAGUUUGGUCCCUAUCUGCCGUGGGCGUUGGAAGAUUGACGGGGGCUGCUCCUAGUACGAGAGGACCGGAGUGGACGCACCUCUGGUGUACCGGUUGUCACGCCAGUGGCAUUGCCGGGUAGCUAAGUGCGGAAGAGAUAACCGCUGAAAGCAUCUAAGCGGGAAACUUGCCUGAAGAUGAGUCUUCCCGGAGGUUGAACCUCCCUCAAGAGUCGUCCGAGACCAGGACGUCGAUAGGUCAGGUGUGUAAGCGCUGUAAGGCGUUGAGCUAACUGAUACUAAUUGCUCGUGAGGCUUGAUCCU
Molecule: ribosomal RNA, 1948 nt
Filed under: human gut metagenome
Description: bacterial LSU rRNA
Rfam family: Bacterial large subunit ribosomal RNA
Source: RNAcentral